AAAGCUCGAUUUGGUGGCACUAUGAUAUCCCAGUGAUGACGAGGAGGUUUAUUAUUAAGUCAUAUUAUUAACUUCAACAUCAUCGAUCAUCAUGCGAGCAUUUUAACAUGAAUGCAACAACUAUCAUGCAACGUACCGAUGCAGUAACAAAAUCAAGCUUUUCAAAUGAACCAGGAUAGCAUGCGAGACAUGGCAAUAACAAGUACUAGUAAUUUCACUAGUGCAACAGAAUUAUCAUAACAUCGAUACUACUAACAUGAAAAUAAACUAGACAGAGGCAUGAUUUUAUCAGUAACAACAGUAAACUAGCAUGUCAGCUUAUUUCAUGAAAGCAUAAGCAUGCAAGACAGAUAACAAAACAUAUAGCAUGACUAAAAUAACAACAGACCGAACAGACAAGAAACUACUACAACUAAACACACACACGAAGUGAAAGCAAAGUCAACAUGAUAAGAGGUUGGCUUGCCAGGGGUCGAGCAAUACUCCGGGAACAAGUGUGAAACGAUUGCGGAAAGAGUUGCCGGAAACAGUUCUCUCUCGGAGGGGGCUAUUUACGGGCAAGGGCAAAAUGGUCAUUUUCACUGUGUGAAAACAUUACGAAAAUGAUACCAACGGAAAGAGCUCGACGAACAGAGAACGUGAGCGUUGGAACCACCUCAAUCGAAGUUACGGUUGUCGAGAUACGAAGGGUUGAAGCUCAGGGACCUAUCGGUGAAAAAAAUUCAGCAAACAGGCCCCUGGAGGAAAAACUGAAUGCGCCUUUGGGCCGAAUACGUUUUCUGCAAAGAGAAACGUAUUUUGUGCCGAAGUGCAAAGCGAAUAUGCUUUCAGAACUAAGAAAGCGUAUUUCAGGUAAAAGAGGAAGCAAAUACGCUUUCGUAUAUCGAAAACGCAUAUCCAGAAUACGCUUACACUUACACACGCGGGCCCGGGGUGUGGUCAACGCCGAGACGCUGACAGGUGGGGUCACACGGGGAGGGGCCCGCCUGGCCUGGCGUCUUCAACCUCCCGCUCGUGCGCGCGCCUGGCAGAGGGAGGGGCUCGCCUCGACGGCGAUUGCCGGCGACUCCGGCCACCGCAAACGACGGCCGACCUACCCACGAGUUCAGGAGCGAGAGGCGCAUCUCGGGGUGGUCUCCGUUGCCAUCGAGGAGG
RNAcentral lists this long non-coding RNA (1155 nucleotides) under Triticum aestivum (bread wheat). Its description in RNAcentral is "long non-coding RNA (TAES_LNC009012)". The record is from RNAcentral. Lineage: Eukaryota; Viridiplantae; Streptophyta; Magnoliopsida; Poales; Poaceae.